GGGUCAGUGAGCGGAAUUGGUAACGCAGCGGACUGUAAAUCCGUGGCUUUCGAGCAUUGUUGGUUCAAGUCCAACCUGGCCCACCA
This 86-nucleotide transfer RNA is filed under the name Caudoviricetes sp. Its description in RNAcentral is "tRNA-Tyr". It matches the Rfam family "tRNA". Rfam says of the family: Transfer RNA (tRNA) molecules are approximately 80 nucleotides in length. Lineage: Duplodnaviria; Heunggongvirae; Uroviricota; Caudoviricetes. The record is from RNAcentral.